This is a long non-coding RNA of Bos taurus (domestic cattle), 769 nucleotides long. NCBI's taxonomy places the organism in Eukaryota, Metazoa, Chordata, Mammalia, Artiodactyla, Bovidae. The record is from Ensembl.
GAGUUACAGCGAGCAUUCUUUCUGGGCUUUUGGGCUAUGUGUUAGCUAGGGUUUGGUUGAUCUGCAUUGGGCUGACCUUGGCUUGGCUCCAAGCACUGAAAGACUGGGUGUAGAGAAGAUGCUUCUGGCCGCACCUGAAUGAGGGCAAAGCCAGACGACAAGAUAACAAACAGCCCCAGUUUGUGCUGUGACUCAGCCCCCACCAGCUGGAUUGCAGCAACCCCAGCUCCUUGCCUGCCUCUGACUCAGAUGAAGGACAUCCUUGUCCCGUGGAACAUCUGGCUCCCAGAUCAGAGAACAGAAUGCAGCCUCGAGAUGAGAUGGCUUGUCCAGCAUCACACAGAAGAUAGGACCCAGUGUGUGUUCAUGCAUGUUAAGUCAAUUCAGUCAUGUCCAGCUCUUUGUGACCCCGUGGACUGUAGCCCACAGGCUCCUCUGUCCGUGGAAUUCUCCAGGCAAGAACACUGGAGUAGGUUUCUGUGCCCUCCUCCAGGGGCUCCUCGUGACCCAGGGAUCAAACCCAUGUCUCUUGCUUUGGCAGUUGUGUUAUUUACCACUUUCAGUACCUGGGAAGCCCAGGAGGUCCCAGAGUGGGGCUUCUCUAUGCUGUACAUCAGAGUUUCGACCUCGGCACUAUGGAUGUUUUGAGUGGAAUAAUUAUUUGUUUUGGAGGGCUGUCCUGUACAUCGAAGCAUGUGUAGCAACAUCCCUGGCUUCUACUCACUACACGUCAGCAGCACGCCUCUCCCCACUUUGGGGUAACCAGAAA